AGACCUCUAAUCGAAAAGACUACCCGCUGAGUUUAA
Molecule: ribosomal RNA, 36 nt
Filed under: Cyclodictyon albicans
Lineage: Eukaryota; Viridiplantae; Streptophyta; Bryopsida; Hookeriales; Callicostaceae
Description: partial 26S ribosomal RNA
Source: RNAcentral